GACGAACGCUGGCGGCGUGCUUAACACAUGCAAGUCGAACGGAAAGGCCCUGCUUUUGUGGGGUGCUCGAGUGGCGAACGGGUGAGUAACACGUGAGUAACCUGCCCCUGACUUUGGGAUAACUUCAGGAAACUGGGGCUAAUACCGGAUAGGAGCUCCUGCUGCAUGGUGGGGGUUGGAAAGUUUCGGCGGUUGGGGAUGGACUCGCGGCUUAUCAGCUUGUUGGUGGGGUAGUGGCUUACCAAGGCUUUGACGGGUAGCCGGCCUGAGAGGGUGACCGGCCACAUUGGGACUGAGAUACGGCCCAGACUCCUACGGGAGGCAGCAGUGGGGAAUAUUGCACAAUGGGCGGAAGCCUGAUGCAGCAACGCCGCGUGCGGGAUGACGGCCUUCGGGUUGUAAACCGCUUUCACCUGUGACGAAGCGUGAGUGACGGUAAUGGGUAAAGAAGCACCGGCUAACUACGUG
Molecule: ribosomal RNA, 468 nt
Filed under: uncultured bacterium
Lineage: Bacteria
Description: partial 16S ribosomal RNA
Rfam family: Bacterial small subunit ribosomal RNA
Source: RNAcentral